GGCUGCUGGGAUAGCUCAGUUGAUAGGAGCAUGAGACUCUUAACCUCAGGGUUGUGGGUUUGAGCCCCACAACGGGCA
Non-coding RNA from Podarcis lilfordi (Lilford's wall lizard), 78 nucleotides. Lineage: Eukaryota; Metazoa; Chordata; Lepidosauria; Squamata; Lacertidae. The record is from the annotation of a GenBank genome assembly.